AUUGAACGCUGGCGGCAUGCUUUACACAUGCAAGUCGAACGGCAGCGCGGGCUUCGGCCUGGCGGCGAGUGGCGAACGGGUGAGUAAUGCAUCGGAACGUGCCCAGUAGUGAGGGAUAGCGCGGCGAAAGCCGGAUUAAUACCGCAUACGACCUGAGGGUGAAAGCGGGGGACCGAAAGGCCUCGCGCUAUUGGAGCGGCCGAGGUCGGAUUAGCUAGUUGGUGGGGUAAAGGCUUACCAAGGCGACGAUCCGUAGCUGGUCUGAGAGGACGACCAGCCACACUGGGACUGAGACACGGCCCAGACUCCUACGGGAGGCAGCAGUGGGGAAUUUUGGACAAUGGGGGCAACCCUGAUCCAGCCAUGCCGCGUGCGGGAAGAAGGCCUUCGGGUUGUAAACCGCUUUUGUUCGGGAAGAAAUUCUCUGGGCUAAUACCCCGGGGGGAUGACGGUACCGGAAGAAUAAGCACCGGCUAACUACGUG
This 484-nucleotide ribosomal RNA is filed under the name uncultured bacterium. Its description in RNAcentral is "partial 16S ribosomal RNA". It matches the Rfam family "Bacterial small subunit ribosomal RNA", at positions 29 to 507 of the family's 1533-position model. The record is from RNAcentral.